UAGGGAAAUGGCAAAAGCUUCAGUAUUGAUUUCUUGUUUGAUAGUUUUAUUUCUGAUGACAGUAACAACAGAAUUUGCUGAUGCAUGCGACUUUAAGUGCAAGACUGCGAAUGACUGUGGAAAUUUACACUGCUUGUUCCCUUGCUGCCUCUGCAAAAAGAAAUGCGAAAACAAUUGCUGCCUUUGUGAUUGUAUGCCAAAACCUAGUCAAAAUGUGUUGACCAACA
This 227-nucleotide small RNA is filed under the name Vigna angularis var. angularis. RNAcentral describes it as "Non-protein coding transcript". The record is from RNAcentral. Lineage: Eukaryota; Viridiplantae; Streptophyta; Magnoliopsida; Fabales; Fabaceae.